GGGGGACAACAUCUCGAAAGGGAUGCUAAUACCGCAUACGUCCUACGGGAGAAAGCAGGGGAUCACUUGUGACCUUGCGCUAAUAGAUGAGCCUAAGUCGGAUUAGCUAGUUGGUGGGGUAAAGGCCUACCAAGGCGACGAUCUGUAGCGGGUCUGAGAGGAUGAUCCGCCACACUGGGACUGAGACACGGCCCAGACUCCUACGGGAGGCAGCAGUGGGGAAUAUUGGACAAUGGGGGGAACCCUGAUCCAGCCAUGCCGCGUGUGUGAAGAAGGCCUUAUGGUUGUAAAGCACUUUAAGCGAGGAGGAGGCUCUUUUGGUUAAUACCCAGAAUGAGUGGACGUUACUCGCAGAAUAAGCACCGGCUAACUCUGUGCCAGCAGCCGCGGUAAUACAGAGGGUGCAAGCGUUAAUCGGAUUUACUGGGCGUAAAGCGCGCGUAGGCGGCCAAUUAAGUCAAAUGUGAAAUCCCCGAGCUUAACUUGGGAAUUGCAUUCGAUACUGGUUGGCUAGAGUGUGGGAGAGGAUGGUAGAAUUCCAGGUGUAGCGGUGAAAUGCGUAGAGAUCUGGAGGAAUACCGAUGGCGAAGGCAGCCAUUUGGUCUAACAUUGUCGGUUGAACCUGGGCGCCAACUCA
This 637-nucleotide ribosomal RNA is filed under the name Acinetobacter sp. RNAcentral describes it as "bacterial SSU rRNA". It matches the Rfam family "Bacterial small subunit ribosomal RNA", at positions 138 to 761 of the family's 1533-position model. The record is from RNAcentral. Lineage: Bacteria; Pseudomonadati; Pseudomonadota; Gammaproteobacteria; Moraxellales; Moraxellaceae.